CCCCCUCCCGUUCGACCGCCCAUCGUCGGGUUGGCGCGUGGCAGCCGUCGCCGGACGUGGCGCAUGGCCGGCACCAUGUUGGGGGCGUCGACCGCUGGGGUCGCCGGCCACCGGUGGCCACUGCCACCGAGCACGCCAUGGGGAGAAAAGAAUGAGAGAGAGAGAGAGAGAGAGCCAACUCUCUUCUUUGUAAUUUUAUUGACAGAGGGAAGGGAGGAAGGAAGUGAGAGGGGGAGAACAGCCGGGUUCCAUCUUCCUUGUUCUCCUCCCACUCCAGUUGCUCUAGUUGCUCUAUUUUAAUUCCAUGUUUUCUCUCUAGUCUAGUAUAGGGAAAUCAUGGACUGAUGGUUAAUCCUAGAGUGUUAGAUACUAGUGGACCCUUAAGGGGAUCCAUAGGGGGUUUGGGUUUUAUAUAUAUUGGAUAAUUUUUAAUGAUGAUUUGGUUCUGUAGGGGAACAAUCUGUUGGACGAGAGGACAUUGAGCAGGAUUCUGUGCAUUCCGGUUCUUUAUCGCCGUGAGGGCAGGUGAUUGGUUGUCUAAAUUUUC
This 547-nucleotide long non-coding RNA is filed under the name Phoenix dactylifera (date palm). RNAcentral's name for it is "long non-coding RNA (PDAC_LNC022011)". Lineage: Eukaryota; Viridiplantae; Streptophyta; Magnoliopsida; Arecales; Arecaceae. The record is from RNAcentral.